CAAGCAUGUUGGUCAGUAAUCUUUUAUUUAAACAAUGACGCUCUUCUUCACUUAUAUAACCACAAUGGUUUCUAAAAGCAUAUACCAGCUCCCAGGACCUGCUAUCUUCAUCCAAAUCCAAUACCAUGAAUAAUCAUGAAUCUCACUUAAAUACUGCUUUAUCUUAAACUAGACAACCAAAUUUUUUAUUAGGUAUGUCUAGA
This 203-nucleotide long non-coding RNA is filed under the name Solanum tuberosum (potato). RNAcentral's name for it is "long non-coding RNA (STUB_LNC007413)". Lineage: Eukaryota; Viridiplantae; Streptophyta; Magnoliopsida; Solanales; Solanaceae. The record is from RNAcentral.